UUGUCCCGAUGCCGUCAUCCCCUCGCGCAAAGAGGAGACCAAAUUCUUUUUUCUUCGAACCACGGUUGUGUACCAAACUAUCUCGGCAUCUCCUGCGCCUCCUGUCCCCUCCAUCCACAGCAGCAGCACAUGCGUGCGAAGGAGAAAUUGGAUGGGGGCAAUAGCAGCGACAAAAAAGAUCUAGCAAAGCGUGACCCUUCCCAUCAAAUACCUACAGGUGUUGCGAUUAGCUGGUAGCUUGGCAUUUGCAUGCCCUCGUCAGGUGCAAGGAUCAUUUCAUUGCUCGGCUAGCAAUCUACCAGGGACCCUGGAAUGCUUGAAUGGUGUCGCCGACCUCAGAGAAGCCACUCCUGCCGCAACGAAGGGCCGCGACGAUCCUUCACCUGCAGAUGUUAUCUGUCUGACCCAUUCAAAGUGAGCUAUCCGAACAGCUCAAGUUCAGGGUUUCAGCUAUUUCUCCAGUUUGGCUCACACCAAGGUUUAGCAAACCAACACUGCCCUGCCUGGUCAUGAAAUUAUGUAUGCUGUCAAGUUAAUUUGUUUUUGUUUAUUAAAUUGGCUUAUGCAGAUCUAUUUGUUUCAAGUUGGUCAAUGAUUCUAUUAUCCACUAACAAAUUAAUCAGGAUCUGAGUUGGUUGCUGAGUAGAACUCAUUUCCAUCAUGAUGUGAAGAAAAGUACUUUUCCAUGAAACUUUGUAUUUAAUCCUCCUGAUUACCGAACUGAAAUGUCUCAAUAUGAUAUGUUUAUAUUUUGUAGUGGUAGAAUAUUAUUUUGACUGCAACUGCGAUACUUUCAUAGAGGAACUAUCAAACUUAAAUUAGUCUUGGCAUUCUACUUAACUGAUGAAAGAUGAUCAUGCACUUCCAUUAUUGUUUUGAAAAUUUACAUCACGUGUGCUAUUCACUGAUGGAAAAGUUCUUUGAACUUGAACAAAACAAUAUAUGGUGUUGCAUCUAUUAUGUGAGUUGAUAUAUUGCUGACUUCUAUUAGCGUCAAUAGUAAUAGUAAAAGAAUAUAUAAAAAUUGUUGAAAAGAAAGAUUGAUGUGCAUUUUGUUUGGAAGCUGCAUCAUUUUAUUUUUCAUAAGCUCUAUGAUUCGGACACUGGAUCCAGGCCAUUUGCUUUUUUUUCUCGCGAGUGAACUAGCUCCCGGCGCCGCAGGCGAGGCCCCGAGGGCUCCUCCUCGCCCGCUGCGGGGUCCAAGGCACCGUCAGCAGAUCCGCGAGAGGCGAGGUCAGCGGCUAAACCUCUGUUCAGUUCAGUUAAUAUUCCUGAUCUUAUCUAUCUGAGAUAGCAUGGGGUGUGGAAGGGCAGGUGCUGAGUGAUCCAGCACAACCUGCAGUGUAUGAUGAGAUCCAUGGGAAAAAGUCAGAAAACGGAUGGUGAACCAAGAUAAUUCAGACACAGGCAGGUCUUGGAGUGAUGUCUGGGGAUCCCCACCACGAGAUCAAAACAAUGGGUGUACAAACUUAACCAGUGAGUUGGUAUUUUUCAUCCGGAAAUUGAUUGGUAUGUAUGUCUUGGCAAUUGGAAGCAUCAACAGACUUCAAGAGAGGAAGCAUGCUAUUGCCUGUCCGAGGACUCUAGCGCCACAGUGCAGGCCGCGGUGAGCAAGUCAUCGGGUUCGGUCUCAGUCAUGUCGAUCACGUCGGCGCGGAAGCAUGCUAUUGUUUAGCUAGCUUCAUGCAGGGUCUGAGAGGACUUUUUGCGGGCUUUUAUCCUGCAGGGUCUGAGAUACUUACAGAGGAAGGAUGACCAGCUUCAUCUGGUCCAACAUCUCAUCUCAGCUACAGAAGCAGAGGCGUCUUUGUUUACAAGUCCCAUAUGGCUGGUGAAGACAAGACUGCAACUCCAAACACCUAAACAUCAUACUUCAGGAUAUUCUGGUUUUUCUGCCUUCAUAAUCUGGAGAGUUGAGGCGACGCGGCCAAGGCGGCACUGAGGUGACACGGCCGGGGUGGUGCUAAGGCGGCAACGGAGGCCAGGUGAAGAGGGCGCGCGAGGCCAUCAAGGGGGGAGCAGAGGUGGCCGGAGCGAGCGCCACUGACCUAGUGGGAGGCUGCGGCGGUGACGGCGAGGACGGUGGGGUUCGUGUCGACGAGGAGCUCAUCGAUGGGGAACCCCAGCGAGAUCGCGAUGAGCAGAGGCGAGCAGCGGUGCAGAUGGGGGAGGCAUCACCAGCGAGAGGUGGGAAAGCAUGCGGCGAGCCAGACGUCGCCUGUCGAGGCCUCAGGAUCUUUUGGGUUGGCGAAACCAACGUGUCAGCUGGUGUACUUUAUUGUUGUAAUAUCCUACUCGGCAAUUCCACCCGAAGGGAAUACUUCUCUACGGCUACGUCGUUAUCUCAACUGCCACACUCGGCUUCAAACAAGAACUACCGAACUUUGCUCUUGGAGGGUCUGGCUUCUCCUACCGAUGCCUUCACUUUGUGAAGCAUGUCCUCCUUAUAUAGUGCUGCGAAGAGCGCUGAGGCCUUCGCUGCUUCUUAUCUUCUUAUCGAGCUUAUCGUUCUGCGGCAUGGCGUAGACUUCAUCGAUAUGGAGGGAAUUUCUUCUGCAUGGUGUUCAGUUGCACGGCGCAUGGCCUUAACUGGAGUUGCUGCUUUAGUUUUCUGGAACAAGUUCCUGUGUAGAAUCUUCCAAAGAUCUGAGUGUAGGCUUAUCCAUGCAAUACUUCUGCUGUUACUUGUUAUAUCACAAUCCGAGUUUUUAGUAUUAGUAUUAUUUUAUUAUAUAUAUAUGUGUGUUUUGGAUUC
Panicum virgatum (switchgrass) is the source of this 2755-nucleotide long non-coding RNA. RefSeq lists it as uncharacterized. The record is from RefSeq and is a predicted model, not a curated record. Lineage: Eukaryota; Viridiplantae; Streptophyta; Magnoliopsida; Poales; Poaceae. The transcript is spliced from 13 exons.